Molecule: long non-coding RNA, 443 nt
Filed under: Homo sapiens (human)
Lineage: Eukaryota; Metazoa; Chordata; Mammalia; Primates; Hominidae
Description: non-protein coding lnc-DIAPH3-7:1
Source: RNAcentral
CUAGUUUGACACUUAUAGCUAAGCCUCAGUGUUUUUAGAAACUGGCCUGACACUCAUAGCUAGGCCAUGUUGUUCUCCUGAUGAACAGCAUCUCACAGAACAGCAAUAUCAGACAGGGUCACUCUGUGACCAUGAUGAAGUGAGACAAAACAAGAUCACUUCCAUGUUUUGUCUAAGCACAGACAAUAACAAGGUCAGUAUGCAAAUCAGAAAAUAUCAAUGUUAAAUAAAUUCAUGGGAAAUGAUUAUAGACUAACCUUAGUUUUGGACUAAUCUGCUGCACUAGGCUCCGGCAGACCAGACCAAAGCAGAAUGGUCCCUCAUGCGUAUUGCCACAUAAUCAAAAGCAACUCUGAAACCAGCCAGUUUUCCAAAAAGCAGGAAAUUCAUAGCACCCAAUCAGAAGGGGCCAAGUUUAUCUGAGCUGGUAUGCUAAGAAAGUU